Molecule: ribosomal RNA, 181 nt
Filed under: Staphylococcus epidermidis
Lineage: Bacteria; Bacillati; Bacillota; Bacilli; Caryophanales; Staphylococcaceae
Description: partial 23S ribosomal RNA
Rfam family: Bacterial large subunit ribosomal RNA
Source: RNAcentral
GAUUAAGUUAUUAAGGGCGCACGGUGGAUGCCUUGGCACUAGAAGCCGAUGAAGGACGUUACUAACGACGAUAUGCUUUGGGUAGCUGUAAGUAAGCGUUGAUCCAGAGAUUUCCGAAUGGGGGAACCCAGCAUGAGUUAUGUCAUGUUAUCGACAUGUGAAUUCAUAGCAUGUCAGAAUU